Molecule: ribosomal RNA, 497 nt
Filed under: uncultured bacterium
Lineage: Bacteria
Description: partial 16S ribosomal RNA
Rfam family: Bacterial small subunit ribosomal RNA
Source: RNAcentral
GAUGAACGCUGGCGGCGUGCCUAAUACAUGCAAGUCGAGCGAACAGACGAGGAGCUUGCUCCUCUGACGUUAGCGGCGGACGGGUGAGUAACACGUGGAUAACCUACCUAUAAGACUGGGAUAACUUCGGGAAACCGGAGCUAAUACCGGAUAAUAUAUUGAACCGCAUGGUUCAAUAGUGAAAGACGGUUUUGCUGUCACUUAUAGAUGGAUCCGCGCCGCAUUAGCUAGUUGGUAAGGUAACGGCUUACCAAGGCAACGAUGCGUAGCCGACCUGAGAGGGUGAUCGGCCACACUGGAACUGAGACACGGUCCAGACUCCUACGGGAGGCAGCAGUAGGGAAUCUUCCGCAAUGGGCGAAAGCCUGACGGAGCAACGCCGCGUGAGUGAUGAAGGUCUUCGGAUCGUAAAACUCUUUUAUUAGGGAAGAACAAAUGUGUAAUUAACUAUGCACGUCUUGACGGUACCUAAUCAGAAAGCCACGGCUAACUACGUG